Molecule: ribosomal RNA, 253 nt
Filed under: uncultured bacterium
Lineage: Bacteria
Description: partial 16S ribosomal RNA
Rfam family: Bacterial small subunit ribosomal RNA
Source: RNAcentral
UACGAAGGGGGCUAGCGUUGCUCGGAAUCACUGGGCGUAAAGCGCACGUAGGCGGUUUGCUAAGUCAGGGGUGAAAUCCUGGAGCUCAACUCCAGAACUGCCCUUGAUACUGGCGGUCUCGAGUCCGGGAGAGGUGAGUGGAACUGCGAGUGUAGAGGUGAAAUUCGUAGAUAUUCGCAAGAACACCAGUGGCGAAGGCGGCUCACUGGCCCGGUACUGACGCUGAGGUGCGAAAGCAUGGGGAGCGAACAGG